UAAAAUUAAAGGUAAUCAAUCGUUAUAUAUAAAAACACAUCCAACAUUACAUCAUACUAACAUCAGAUUGCAUCAUAAAAUUAAUUUAAUUUUCCAAAUUGUCACUUACAAUUUGAAAAAUCAGUGAGUUAACUCUUUCAAAUUUGGCGAGUUAACUCAGUUAAAUUAAGGCCACUAACGAUUGAUUUUCCACCCUCCACUGGCUUUUCUCAUUCUUCUCGUAACUGUAUACAUUGUUUCGGCAAUACCAACAUUAAAAAAGAAAAUAGAUGGAGUAAAAUGAAUUAAAGAAAAUAUAUAAAGGUGUAGAUACAGAUUUCAGCUGUUAACUGGGCUGUCUUUUCGAAUCAUUUCUAUUGUGUUUUGGUUUUCAGUCUUCCAAACACCAACCUGCAUAAUACUUUUUCAAAUCAUUUCCUUCGUUUUCCUUUUAGUCUUCCAAACAGCAACAUCCAUAUACAGCUCCUUGAUUAAUUUGGUGCGUCAACUCUCUUCCCAAUGACGCUUUCUCAGUUACUCUUCAUCUCUUUAUCUGUCUCCAUCUGAGUCACUGUGUUACUUCACACGGAAUUCAAUCGCCUUCUCUUCAUCAUCUUCCAUGUUCCUUUUCGAGAAAAUCUGAAGUCAAGAAGCAAAGGUAUUGUGGCACGUUAAAAUUGCAACCAAAAUAAAUCAGUUUCUCAGAGAAGAUAAGAGAAAUCAAGAGAAAGAAGGCAGUUCAUCAGAAAAUUUAUCGCCACUGCAAUGUAUCGGCCUAUUUAAGCCCUCAAUUUCGGCCUUAUAAGCAAGUCAAGUACGCCUUAUCAAAGUUUAUGGUUUCAUCUCAUCAAUUACCUCCUCUUUCCCCGUGGAUGAGAACCCUUAUCUUCCCCUCAAAAUCUUAGAUUCUGUGACGCCCCAAAAUAAGACCACACGACCCAUUCUGAGUCGCCAUAUAUCACACUAUAAAAAUUAAUACAAACUUCAUUUAUACAACUAUUGAAC
This 984-nucleotide long non-coding RNA is filed under the name Panax ginseng (ginseng). RNAcentral describes it as "long non-coding RNA (PGIN_LNC014631)". The record is from RNAcentral. Lineage: Eukaryota; Viridiplantae; Streptophyta; Magnoliopsida; Apiales; Araliaceae.